This is a long non-coding RNA of Dermochelys coriacea (leatherback sea turtle), 2415 nucleotides long. RefSeq lists it as uncharacterized. The transcript is spliced from 4 exons. The record is from RefSeq and is a predicted model, not a curated record. Lineage: Eukaryota; Metazoa; Chordata; Testudines; Dermochelyidae.
CAGCUGGUCAGCUUAGCUGACCUGGGCGGCCAGCAGGCUCUGGGAGCGAAGGGGCCAGGAAAGGAGGCUUUGGUGAAAUGACAGAAUUUAUGGGUCUGGUCUCCUGGGAGAGGGGUUACCUACUGGAUCUCAGGCUGGCUGUUGUCUGAAGUCUGGAGGGGGCAAAGGAUUCUCUAGGGACUCUGACCUUGUGGGAGCAAGUGACUGAGCAUGCAAACCUGAGCAGAUGAUUGGGACAUGUCAUACCAAGAUAAAGUCAUGAGCCAAUUUCCAUUGAUGAAGGCUGGUGUAUAUCCAAAUAAAUAAUAAAUUUGCACUGCUUGUCUCGAACAGCACAAGAUGGUAUGUUCCUGAGGUAGAGAGCCAGGAGCUGGAGGGAUUUGGGCGGUGCCUUUCUCCGUCAAUGUUGAGUGGAAGAAGUCUGCUAAAGGUAGAUGAGGAAAAGACACUGGAAUGGAAUCUUCCUAUUACUAAGGAAGAGGAAUUUCCAGUCCUGGGUGGAUUGAUGACUCACAACUUAGUCAGCUCUUCUUUGCAUGCUGGUUGAGUAAAGGUGCCCUGAAGCAAGGUAACUGCUGUUGGUUGUGAAUUGGACCCAGCUCCUUUAUACUUUAGUUUUAAUUUGUACAGGAUGGGAUUUAAUUAGCUAGAACAGCUUGAAUUUGUCUGUCUGUUAAACUACACUUUUAGUUGUUGAAUUAAUUAAAAAAAAAAAUCUUCAUUUCUAACACAUUUGUAUGUCAGAUCUCAUUUGUACCAUGUGGUAACUUUGAUCAAUUUAUGAGUGGUGUUUGGCAUCUACAUAAACAAGCAUGUGCUACAAGUGUUUUGAACAAUUUUAUAUUUCUAACAGAUGUGUUUUCAUAUCUGUAUUUGAGAUCUGUUAGAUGUACAAGAUCAAGCCAAGUGUUCUAUAGCGAAAUAAAGUUAAACAAAUUUGUUAAUAACUAACAAGUGUUGCACAAAAACUAGUUAAUAAUCAGACAAUUGUUAUACUUUAGAUUAAUCUUCUAAAGAUCCUAGUGGAAAAAAACUACAUGUAAGAUUUAAAGUAAUUUCUACUACCUCACUCCUUCAAACAGAUGUUAUACACUUACCAAAAGAACCAAGAUCGAACAAAACUUGUUCAACCUACCUAACAAAACAGAAAAACAUUGUGUGUGUUUGACUUGGAUCUUAUUCAAGAGUCUCAUCUUUCAAGCAUGAUGUAAUUAAUUUGAGAUUAGAGUGAAAAACAUAGCUCUCAAGUGCGUGAUAUCAGACAUGUUUAUUAGAUACUGAAAACAGGAUUUAAUGACUGUCUGUCUACUACAAUCCUAGAAUCACAGUUAUUUAUGUUUUCAUUAAGAAAUUAUAACUAGAUGUGUAAGACAUGAUUUACUGUUCACCCUACAUAAUUUGUCUCAAAAUAAAACAUUUAUCGGAUGAUAUAAAAUGAUCAGGUAAAGAUUUGUCAACUCUUAAACUCCUUGUCACUUGAGCACCAAAAAGAUGGUUUUUGUAACUACAGUUAACAAAACAUGUUUGACUAUUGUUUGGAGUUUACUGAUAGGAAAUAAAUCUUACAUUAUAGCAAUUUUAAACUUGACCUGAUAGGUGUUCAGAUAUGGAGAUUAAUGAGAUAAUGAGCUGAAUAUCCUUAUCAAACUCAUUAUCAAAGUUUGAUUGGUGAACAAAUUUGAGACAGUUGUUGUACCAUGUCUUUAACAAAUACCACUUCAGAUGCAAUAAGAGUCCGGUGGCACCUUUUACCAGUAGUUAAUCCAGUAAGGUAUUUAGCUCUUUUACCCACAAAAGCUUAAGUACUGGUAGCAAAACAAAAUAUGUAUUUAGGCAUCUGUUGUUAACUGUUUUAACCAUCAACAUCAGGAUCUAGGAUAACAAUCAAUCAUGUUAAAUACCGAAUAUGGACAGUGAUUGUUCACUAACAUCCUGUCAUCUGAUGAGGAUGUUUAAGAUGUUAGAGAAUCUGUUUUCUAGAGAACAUUAUGGGCAGAUUGUUUCAAAAUGUUGUUUGAUUUGAAGUUGUCUGAACUCAGAGAAUCUAGGAUGUUUGAUUUACAUAUCUGAUAAACAUCCUAGAUUCUCCAUAUCAUCUGAUGACAUGUAAAUAGUGAACACUGUUUGUAUAAUGUAGAGUUAGAAAAACAGUUUUCCAACCAAGAUUAAAGAUUUUUAAAAUUAACUUUGGUGAGCAAACAAACAAACCUGUCUGUGUGAAAACUGACAGUUAUGAUCAUGAGAAAGUUAAUAUUUAAAGAUUGGUAUACCAUUUCUUUUAUAAGAGUUUCUUAAGUGCACUUUAAUUGAAACUACAUGAACUUCAAACUAUCAUUCAGAUUUAAACAUGUAAAUCUUGAAACUGAGACAUAACAUCCAACUUACUUUCCCGAUUGGAAGAUUAAAGAUAUUACU